RNAcentral lists this ribosomal RNA (384 nucleotides) under Triticum aestivum (bread wheat). Its description in RNAcentral is "partial small subunit ribosomal RNA". Lineage: Eukaryota; Viridiplantae; Streptophyta; Magnoliopsida; Poales; Poaceae. The record is from RNAcentral.
AUGGUGAUCGAGAGCGAGCAUGACUGGUCAUUGGAGUCGGCAUUGAAGCGACGCGCCAGCUAUGAAUGCCGCCCACGCCGCGCCCCGGUCUCCGCGCCUGUUCAAUGCCAGAGUGACGUGACUAGACGGGGUGGGAUGUCUAUCAACCACUUUCAAACCUGCUGCCCCAUUUGUCCUCCUGUUGGUAUUAAACAUGCGCAGUGCAAGAAACCAACUCUGACGCCCACAUUGACACACCCUUCGCUUGGCCUGGCCGGUGCCCGCUAUUUAUACGUAGCCAUGCUCGGCACCAUCUGCACAGCACCACAUCUGCUCCCUUUCCUCCUCCGUGAACCACCUCUGCCAUCACUGCGAGCUCUAGAGCGAUGUGGGAGAGCCUCUUGA